Molecule: ribosomal RNA, 253 nt
Filed under: uncultured bacterium
Lineage: Bacteria
Description: partial 16S ribosomal RNA
Rfam family: Bacterial small subunit ribosomal RNA
Source: RNAcentral
UACAGAGGCCUCAAGCGUUGUUCGGAUUCAUUGGGCGUAAAGGGUGCGCAGGCGGUCGGGUAAGUCGGGUGUGAAAUCCUGGGGCUCAACCUCAGAACUGCAUUCGAUACUACCGUGCUUGAGGACUGGAGAGGAGACUGGAAUUUACGGUGUAGCGGUGAAAUGCGUAGAUAUCGUAAGGAAGACCAGUGGCGAAGGCGGGUGUCUGGACAGCUCCUGACGCUGAGGCACGAAGGCCAGGGGAGCAAACGGG